Molecule: ribosomal RNA, 403 nt
Filed under: Neptunomonas concharum
Lineage: Bacteria; Pseudomonadati; Pseudomonadota; Gammaproteobacteria; Oceanospirillales; Oceanospirillaceae
Description: bacterial SSU rRNA
Rfam family: Bacterial small subunit ribosomal RNA
Source: RNAcentral
GUGGUUUAAUUCGAAGCAACGCGAAGAACCUUACCUACUCUUGACAUCCAGAGAACUUUCCAGAGAUGGAUUGGUGCCUUCGGGAACUCUGAGACAGGUGCUGCAUGGCUGUCGUCAGCUCGUGUUGUGAAAUGUUGGGUUAAGUCCCGUAACGAGCGCAACCCUUGUCCUUAUUUGCCAGCACUUCGGGUGGGAACUCUAAGGAGACUGCCGGUGACAAACCGGAGGAAGGUGGGGACGACGUCAAGUCAUCAUGGCCCUUACGAGUAGGGCUACACACGUGCUACAAUGGCCGGUACAGAGGGCUGCAAACCUGCGAGGGUGAGCUAAUCUCACAAAACCGGUCGUAGUCCGGAUUGGAGUCUGCAACUCGACUCCAUGAAGUCGGAAUCGCUAGUAAUCG